UUUUUGAUUUAAUUGUUACAAUAAAUUUUUUGUAUUUAUUUUCAUUAUAUUGCAGUAAUCUGAGGCAUUCCUGUUGAUCAUUCUUUUUUUUGAGAGUUUAUUAUUUUGGUAAUGGAGAAUUUUGAGGGUUAAGAAAUAAGUUGAUCGCUGGAAUAGUGAUUAUGGACUAGUGUUACUUAAUCAGGGUUAGAUGAUGAUCUUCUGCUGAAUUCGGGUUGAAGAAUAUUAUGAUCCAAAUUCGAAGCUUGCGACACUAUCACCAGUGUGUGAUUGAAUCAAUGGAUGAUAAAGGAGCUGCAAUUAAAACUGACAAUUCUAGGAGCAGAGGAACAGAAUCUGAGAGGACUCAAGGUGAUGCUGUUUUUGAGCUGGGCUCACAUGCUGCUAAAGAUAAUGCUCAAUUCUCUAUGACAGAUUCUCAAUCUGUAGGAGAUAUUGCACGAAAGGAAGCACCUAAACAUUGUGAUGAUCCCUCAAUGGAGGUAAAUAUGGAUGCUACUAUCGAUCCUGAUGAUGUGAUACGAGCUGGAGGUUUUGGUGCUAGAGAUGAUAUAAAUAGUUUUCUUCCUAUUGCAAGUGACUCAACUGACUUUGAAGCUUCAUUGCUUGAUGCGCGUGAGUAUGAAGAGCCCCAGGGUGAGCUACGCCGACCAGGCCUUGGCUGGAUGGAAGAUAGACUCUCACAGUGAAUAUGUUGUUUCAGGGGUACAAGUCGUUUUUGGAUACACUAAUAAUGGUAAUUAGGGUUUAAGUCGUUUUUGGAUUCACUACUAAUGGUAAUUGGUAAGUGUAUUUCAUAUGAACGCGAUGUUUCUUUUUUGACUUAACGUUUGGAUUAGUGGUCCUUUCAUGUUCCUCGACACGUGUUUCUAGGUUCCUUACUCAAAUGUUGGCAGCUAACUCCGUGUUCAAAGUAACCUCAAUACCCAUCUUAUUCGAGGUUUGAACAAAACGCUCUUCCAUGCCUUUAUUAGAUAACUAGCAAGUGUGUGCAUGGACACUAAUUAUGAGCUACCUUGCUAAUCCUUGCUAUUUGACCCCAAUAAAAAAGCUUUUGGACAAAUUUGUACAUAUAAUUUUGUAAUGUCAGAUUGAUUAUAUGCUGUUGGGAUUUUGGUCGAAUCCCAGUACUCGGUUAAUAAAUUUAUUUUAUGUUUGAUGAGAUAUGUUAUAUUUGUUUGUUA
Amaranthus tricolor (Joseph's coat) is the source of this 1184-nucleotide RNA transcript. RefSeq lists it as uncharacterized. The record is from RefSeq and is a predicted model, not a curated record. The transcript is spliced from 5 exons. NCBI's taxonomy places the organism in Eukaryota, Viridiplantae, Streptophyta, Magnoliopsida, Caryophyllales, Amaranthaceae.